CGUCUUUUCGCAGCCUCAAUUACACACUAUAUUGCGUGUUGCCGGUUUCGGCCGGCUAUGGCGAUACAGGAUAGUCGUAAUAAACCUAUCGGACCCGGGGGCGGUACCCGGCGCCUCCACCAAAACCCAGGGAUCAGAGCUGGGCUUUGGCGGGGGCGAAACAGGAUCGACGAGGGUGUAAAGGGCUGGUCUUCGCUCGGCAUGGUACCACCGUCAUCGGGCCAAACCUAUAGUUGCGAAUGACAACUAUGCUCCGGUUGCUCAGGCUGCGUAAGGCAGUUUGAAACACCGAAAUUAAGCCCUGACGGUUAGCCCCGUCAGGCGGGGUUCCGGGGCACCUGGCAACAGAAGCCCCACCU
Molecule: transfer-messenger RNA, 359 nt
Filed under: Rhodobiaceae bacterium
Lineage: Bacteria; Pseudomonadati; Pseudomonadota; Alphaproteobacteria; Hyphomicrobiales; Rhodobiaceae
Rfam family: Alphaproteobacteria transfer-messenger RNA
About the family: Bacterial tmRNA, also known as 10Sa RNA or SsrA, is named for its dual tRNA and mRNA-like properties. Its role is to liberate the mRNA from a stalled ribosome.
Source: RNAcentral